This 443-nucleotide ribosomal RNA is filed under the name uncultured bacterium. Its description in RNAcentral is "partial 16S ribosomal RNA". It matches the Rfam family "Bacterial small subunit ribosomal RNA", at positions 338 to 795 of the family's 1533-position model. The record is from RNAcentral.
CCUACGGGAGGCUGCAGUGGGGAAUAUUGGACAAUGGGGGGAACCCUGAUCCAGCGACGCCGCGUGAGUGAAGAAGUAUCUCGGUAUGUAAAGCUCUAUCAGCAGGGGAGAAAGAAAUGACGGUACCUGACUAAGAAGCCCCGGCUAACUACGGGCCAGCAGCCGCGGUCAUACGGAGGGGGCAAGCGUUAUCCGGAUUUACUGGGUGUAAAGGGAGCGUAGACGGUUACGCAAGUCUGGAGGGAAAGGCGGGGGCCCAACCCCCGGACUGCUGUGGAAACUGGAUAACUGGAGUGCAGGAGAGGUAAGUGGAAUGCCUAGUGUAGCGGUGAAAUGCGUAGAUAUUAGGAGGAACACCAGUGGCGAAGGCGGCUUACUGGACUGUAACUGACGUUGAGGCUCGAAAGCGUGGGGAGCAAACAGGAUUAGAUACCCUUGUAGUC